AAUUCAAACUUCCUGUUUGACAUGUUUUGUCACAGAAUGAAUACUGGAUGAUUCAACCUAUCCUGGUUUCAUUUUGUGAUAGUGUGUCUGCUAUACAGGUCAGUGUUUGUUGGACACGGGAGGGGUGUCGGCUGGCUGGCACUAACUUGCGCAGCUAUGAAGAGAAAUCCAGCACAGUCCUGAGAGAGGAGGGAAACUCCAGCAUUUCUUCACUUCACAGAACAAAAAUAAGGAGGAAAAAGGACAGUGGAAAAGGAAAACCCUGGGAACGAGGAAAGGCUGUUUUGGAGGGAGAAAGACAGAGAAAAGAAUGCUUCAGAAUGUGAAAUAACCUGGAGGACAUUAUUCUACUACAGUUCGACUAAUGGGUCUGGGAUUCUAAUGUGGCAUUUCAGGCUCUGGGAUGUACAAGAUGUUGCUGUGUUUCUCAGCAUCGCACUUUAUAUGUGUCACCUAGCUGGAGCCAUCUCCAUCCAUUCUCCCCAGAAGAGCCUCACCAGGUCAGUGCAGGAGGAUGUGUUUUUCUCGGUGGAUAUUACCUGCGAUGGGAUCCCCACCAUACAAUGGACCUUUAUGUCAGGAGCGGUGAGCCGCACCAUAGGGACAUGGCAGCCGGGGUUGUACACUAACAUAACGGUGGAUUACAGUAGCAGAGUGCAGCACUACAACAAUGGCUCUAUGGGCCUGUCAGACCUGCGCCUGGCAGAUGCUGGAUACUACCAGGUCACUGUCACAGAAACAGCAGGAAGCAGCAAGGAUGCUGGCUUUGUCCUGAAAGUGAACGAGGUGCUGUAUGAGGACCUUCAGUACCUGUCUGUCUCUGCCUUGGCACUGGCCUGUUUGACUGGCCUUCUCAUGCUGGUAAUGUGGCUACUGGACAAGGUCUACAGGAAGAUCGUGGCAUGGAAACGCAGGAAAGAGAUGCCAGAAAAUGAUGCAACAGAGCUGCAGCCUCUUUGAUGGACGUCUAACUGUGCAUCAUACCAGGCAUGAAAACACACCAGAGACUGUUCAUCAAACUCUGCAACAAGGACUAGUUUUUUUAAAUCAAUCAUCAGAACUUGAAUCAAGCUUUGGAAAAACUUUUAGAAUUAUGCAGCAGGUAGUCCCGUCUCAGACUUUAGAUGAAGUGAUAAUAGAUGGAGAAACAAAUUACUACUUUUCAGGUCUUGAGAUUAACGUUUUCAAAAAGCAACAACUCAAAAAAACAAAGGACUGUUGAUUUUAAAAAAGUGAUUCCAUAGGAUUGUGAUAUUUUAAACCCGUUGGAUGGUAGAACUAAAACCUCACUCAUCAUG
This is an RNA transcript of Micropterus salmoides (largemouth bass), 1298 nucleotides long. It is a transcript of the gene named V-set and transmembrane domain-containing protein 5-like, with no coding region annotated. The record is from RefSeq and is a predicted model, not a curated record. The transcript has 6 exons. NCBI's taxonomy places the organism in Eukaryota, Metazoa, Chordata, Actinopteri, Centrarchiformes, Centrarchidae.